UUCUUGUUCUUUAUUUUAAGCCCAACCUAACAAGAAAGCCCACUACAAGAAACCCUAAUGGCUAGGUUUUCUUUUUGAUCUUCAUCUUAAAUAGUCAUCUCUUUAAAAAGGGCAAGAAGGUGAAGAGUUAGUAGGAACGAAAAGGGGUGUGAGACUCUCCAAAUUUUUGAAUUCGUGGGAGGAACGAAGAACGUGCUUGUGUGGAUGCUGUAGAGGUGCGGACAUUCUGAUCGCGCUUAGAUUGGUCGGACUAGCAGUCUUGUAAGGGUUGUUCAUGCAUCAAUGGAAACAAUCCUAUUCGCUAGAGUAGUUUUGCAUUCGCAUGGAUCUCUAGAGGGAUCCAUUUCUGCUGCGUUUUAAUUUAUUUUUCACUAUAGAUCCCACAAUGGUAUUAAAGCCACUUGCGAAUGCGUUCUCCGCCUUGUUUUAUAUUUUAUAUAAACGAAUGAACAUGUGCUUAUUAUGAUUUGCUUGGAAUGAUUCAUGGGUGGCUUUGACAGGUGUUGUUUUGAAUUGAUUGGAAUGAAAUAAUUUGUGUUUGAUCAAAAUCAGUGAUUGUGGCAUCUUCAUGUUAAAUAUGAAUGUGUGUUACAAUUCGGUUUCAUUCGACGAAUCAUAAAUCCUUGGGCCAGGACCCGUGUGGUUUCGUCAUAUAAAUCAUUAAUCAGAAUUAUAAUAAAAUGAUGUCAUAGAUCUGUUACAUGUGAUGUUUGUUAUGGUACAUGGUUAUGACCCAUUACCUAAUUUGAUUGAAUUAUGUGUAUGUGUUGUAAAUUCAUAAUACGACCUGCGUGUUGUGCCUUUUCACUUCAUACUUCAAGUUGUAAAAGGAUUUCUCUUCUCACCAAACUCCCUUCGAAUAUAACUCGAGGUUUCUCUUCUUUAUAAUGUACAAAUUAGAAUAGUGCUAGUAUAAUAUUGGGCGAUGAUUGAAAAGGAGGCUAACAAUACAUCACAACCAAGGAAGCACUUGUAGAAGAUGUAAUUCCCUAGGUUGACUUUUCGAUCCUCAUUGGCUUGAGAAGAUCGUAAUAGACGGGCCAUAACUAUGUCACAUUUAUUUGCUUGUUUUGCAUAUAUGUUAAUGUAUGUCAUGCUCUAAUGUGAUGCAUUUCUAAUUAGUAGUUUUACCAUAAUUAGGUCAAUUUAAUAUGUCUACUAAAGUUUGAUACUCAUUACUUUCUUGAUCAAUUAUAUACAUGUUUGCUAAAGCAAAGCAACUCAAUUUAACUUAGUAGAGUGCUACAGGACAAUCGUGAUGUCUAACUAUUGAACUUUGGGUGCGACUUAACUAAAUUACCUCAAUUGGAUUGAGAACUUAGAGGCAUAUGAUCAUUCAAUGAGCAAAAUAACAAAUAGUCAUGUUCACUUAACUAUCCAAGAGUUGUAUACGAUGCAAUUGAUAAACAUUACUUACCCAAAUAUAUCCAAGUCUUGGGCGAUUAGCCAAAGCUAACUUAAGAUGCGGUAUAAUAUAGAUCUUGUCCCACUUGAAUGUUAUUGUUAUUGGAGUUUGUAGCUAGUAGUGUGGGUAAACUAUGGUUGUCCACAUUCGUGACUUACUCCUACCAAGCUUUACAUUUUAGUAGAAGAAUCAUUUAAUUAAAGACCUAAUUAAGUGAUUUAAAUAUGAUACUUAUUUUUGCGUUUAUUAUUGUUGUAGAUAACCAUGUCAACACACACGUUUAAUACCAUCUCAUUAUGAUCUGUUCUUGAUAAGGAAAAGCUCGAUGGAGCUAAUUUCCUAGACUUAUACAUAAACUUAAGAAUUGUUCUCAAGUAAGAAAAAAAACUGUACGUCCUAGAAUAACCUAUUUCUAAAACACCUGCCUCUAAUGCUACUCGUACGGAUAAGGAUGCUCAUAAGAAACAUCAGGAUGAUGCGUUAGAUGUAUCAUGCCUUAUGUUUAGCAUCAUGAAUUCAGAGCUUCAAAAGCAAUAUAAGAACAUGGAUGCUUAUGAUAUGGUUGAACAUCUUAAAUAACUAUAUCAGGGGUAGGCAAGACAAGAGAGAUUUGAGGUAUCUAAGACUUUAUUUCAAUGCAAGAUGCAAGAAGGAAGUCUGGAACUCAUGUACUUAAAAUGAUAGGAUAUGUUGAGAAACCUUGAAAAUUUGAGAUUUCUAUUGGGCCAAGAGUUAACCACUAACCUUGUUCUACAAUUGUUGCCAAAAAGCUAUAGUUAAUUUAUCAUGAACUAUAACACGAACGAAAUUGAUAAGUCGUUGCCUGAGAUGUUAAGCAUGGUGAGAACUGCAGAACUCAAUCUCAAGAAGACUAAGCCUAAUACCAUAUUGAUGGUGCAAAAGGGCAAAAGCAAACGAAAACCCAAAGGUAAGGGUAAGUUCCAAGCUAAAGGUAAGGCCAAGUCUCAUGCACUGAAACCUAAAGGUGGGGUAGCUAAGGAAGGAACUUGCUUCCACUGUGGUGCGACCGGACAUUAGAAGAGGAACUGUAAGUUGUUACUGAAGGAAGUAAAAAAGAAAAGAAGUGAGCCUUAAGUAUAUAUAUUAUAGAAAUUAAUCUAUCUAUUUUUCUUUAUGGGUAUUAGAUAUCAACUGUGCAUCUCACAUUUGUACUAAUAUGCAGGAGCUAAGAAAGAAUAUAUAGUUGACAAAGGAUGAAGUGGACCUACGAGUAAGCAAUGACGCAAGAGUUGCUGCUAUAGCUGUAGAUACAAAACUGUUGCUGUGUCGAAGAAAAUGGUUGCAACUCUUGUUUCCCUGUGCCAAAUCAAGAAUUCAAGAUCAAAUCUGGACAAAUCAAAUGUGAGUUCUGUGACAGUGCCUGCAUCUCUCUUCUUCCAUACUGAACACCAUCCCAGCUGUAAAUAUGUAAUAUAUGCUACAGCAUUUUGAUUUAAACAAUAGUUUUCCUGAUUGAAAUGUUGUUACUUAAUCAACAACCUUAUUGGUAACUGGAUGUUCGUACAUUUCUGGAGAAGUAAAUGAUUCAUUUCCAAUGGGAAACUCUGGAAUA
Zingiber officinale is the source of this 2978-nucleotide long non-coding RNA. RefSeq lists it as uncharacterized. The transcript has 2 exons. Lineage: Eukaryota; Viridiplantae; Streptophyta; Magnoliopsida; Zingiberales; Zingiberaceae. The record is from RefSeq and is a predicted model, not a curated record.